This 109-nucleotide ribosomal RNA is filed under the name Mandrillus leucophaeus (drill). The record is from RNAcentral. Lineage: Eukaryota; Metazoa; Chordata; Mammalia; Primates; Cercopithecidae.
GUCUAUAACCAUACCACCCUGAACAUGUCCAAUCUUGUCUGAUCUCAGAAGCUAAGCACGGUUGGGUCUGGUUAGUACUUGAAUGGGAGAAACCUGGUACCUGUUGGCA